AUGCCCACACCUGUGGCUUCUGAAGCAGAGCACCAGCAGUGACAGUCCCACCAGAACCGCAUGGAAUAGAAAACUGUGCAUUUCCCUAAGGAAAGGGAAUGCCAGAGAAGGGCAGAAGGGAAAUCAGGAAGACAAAACGGUAAAUUACCUACCACAAAUCCAAUUCAUUGGUAUUUUUCCACUUACACUUAACCAAGCAACGAUUUCUCCUGGUCCCAUAAUGGAAAAGAGGGUUUAUCUAGAUUCAUAUAUACAAGACUGAAGAGUGAAGAGAGACCCAGAGAAUGUUCUAAAAUCUGCCAGUUAGCAUAAUCACACAGAGAAAUCUCUGCUUCCAGAGGAGGAGCCAAGUUCAAGUCAGAGGUGAGGAAUGCCAACAGGAAAGCUCACUUUCUCCGGGGAUAUUCAGGCCAACACUAGGAAACCACAGCCAAGUCAGGCAGGGCUUGGGGCGGAACUGCUGACACCUCCACCCUAGCCAAUCCAAGGUGCACGCCUGCCUCAUGCAGCCCAGCGUGACUCCCGCCAUUGGCACACUGUGCCCAUCACAGGCUGGAGCUCCUUUCCUCCACCGUCUUCCCAACUCCUGCCAACCAGAACUUAACUACUCCUUUGGAUUCUGCUUUUCACUUGUUCUUCAUCAGACUAUGGAAGCUUAGACUUCAUAAUUUGGCUGAGACUUCAAAAAUAGUUUUAAAGAAAGCUAUUCCCACCCUGCUAAAUGUCUUCAUGUUGGAGUGGACCUUUCCUCUAUCUGUCAACAGAAUGGAUAAAUUGUGGAAGAGUAAUAUCAGAAUACUACACAUCAGUAAAAAACAACAAACUUCUGCUACAAACAAUCAACAUCGAUGAAUCUUUCAGGCAAAAGGGUGAGCUAAAGUAGUCAGACACAAAAGGCUACAUACUGUAUGAUUCUUUCUACAAAAAAAUUCAAGAACAGGCAAAAUUAAUCUUUGAUGAUAGGAGUUAAAAUAGUGGCUACCUUGGAUAGUGGUGGUAGGGUUAUGGAUUGAGAAACAAGGGAAUCUUGAGUGCUGGAAAGACUCUGUUUUAUAUCCUGAUCUGAAUAAUGGUUACAAGGGUAUGAAAAUAUUCAUGAAGCUGUAGUUUUUUGUAAAUUGUACCUCAAUCAAAAAGACAUUACAUAAUGGAAGUGCUUACUGAGUAAAUGAUAUUAUAUCUGGAAUUCAGGGAGGAGGGGAAGUGAAAGGGGAGUCUAUAAAAUAUUGAUGAGUUGAUAAUUGUAAAAUUGGGUAAUGGGCACAUGAAGGGUUGUUAUACUAUUUUGUCUGCUUUUUUAGCUUAAAAAAUAAAUAAAAAA
Molecule: long non-coding RNA, 1321 nt
Filed under: Homo sapiens (human)
Lineage: Eukaryota; Metazoa; Chordata; Mammalia; Primates; Hominidae
Description: long intergenic non-protein coding RNA 2290
Source: RNAcentral